This 243-nucleotide long non-coding RNA is filed under the name Mytilus galloprovincialis (Mediterranean mussel). The record is from RNAcentral. Lineage: Eukaryota; Metazoa; Mollusca; Bivalvia; Mytilida; Mytilidae.
GUUUCAAACAGAUCAAAUGCACUCUUCUUUAACUUUGAUUAUUAGUGAGCAAAUCGACAAAUCUUUGUGUCCCAUUCACUUACUAAAGAAUUUUUUACAAAUUCGAUAUCCUUCGUCCGGGAGUAAUUUAUACAUACAUUUUGACGGAUCAAGUCUCACUCGUUAUCAAUUUUCGUCUAUUUUACAAAAGAGUUAGUCAUUCUCCGAAAUCAAUGGACAUUUCAGAGCACAUUCUUUCAGAAU